GAAAUUUCUUUUAUGCACAAAACCUUCUAUGUGAAUAAAGUUGGUAAUAUGACAUGAUAAUAAGCACAAUGACAUUGGAUAAAAGAUGUAAAUGAGAUGUACGAGUAGGAGUUAAUCUUUUCAAGUAGAAGUAUAUAUGUUUUUAAGGCAAUUGCCUUAUACACCAGCAAUUGCCACACGAACUUAAUGUCCCUCUUUCCAUAAUAGAUCACAAAAAUAUGCAAAACUUGUAAGUUCUUUGUAUGUAUCAAUAGAAAUCAUAAAAAAAAAAAAAUUAAAAGUAAGUUAGUGUGAAUUUAUAAUGAGACAUCUAAGACAUGUAAAUAUUCAGACACUAUAUUAUUUCAUCUGAAUAUUGUAUGGCAUAUCUAAACUUGAAAAC
Molecule: long non-coding RNA, 382 nt
Filed under: Capsella rubella
Lineage: Eukaryota; Viridiplantae; Streptophyta; Magnoliopsida; Brassicales; Brassicaceae
Description: long non-coding RNA (CRUB_LNC002665)
Source: RNAcentral